RNAcentral lists this long non-coding RNA (404 nucleotides) under Mytilus galloprovincialis (Mediterranean mussel). The record is from RNAcentral. Lineage: Eukaryota; Metazoa; Mollusca; Bivalvia; Mytilida; Mytilidae.
GAUUGUUCAAAAUUGUACGUUCAAUAAUUUCAUCUGCCGACAUGAUUGCAGGAAAUAAAAAGUCGUAAAUAAAAAAAAAUCUGAAAGCAAAUAUUCAACAAUUUUAUGCCUUAACGUACAGUAAAAAUAUAUUAAUACUCAACCCUAACAUACUAUUUGGCUUAAUGCGAGUUGAUUAGUUUUCACUGUUUCUCCUAAAUGAUGGUCGUUUGGAACAUAUCAAAAAUGUAUGAUUGAUAAUUCUUUAACUUAAUUUCUGCAUACCAUUAUCAGAGUAACAAAUGAAAUAAUAUUUUUUGUAGUAAACCGUUCAUAUAACAACUGAGUUUAUUAACAUGGUUAUGCAUGUGCACAGUACUUUUAAAAUAGCUUGAUAAAAGUUCGUCUAAAUACUUGAGUUACGG